GAUGAAGAACGCAGCGAAAUGCGAUAAGUAAUGUGAAUUGCAGAAUUCAGUGAAUCAUCGAAUCUUUGAACGCACAUUGCGCCCAUUAGUAUUCUAGUGGGCAUGCCUGUUCGAGCGUCAUUAAUUCCACUUAAGCCCUGCUUAGUGUUGGGAAUCUACUCUAGUGGUGCUACCCUGGAGCUACCCCUGAAAGGGGGCUGGCCCGGUAGCUACCCUGUAGUUCCUCAAAGAUAGUGCGCGGAGUUGCGUGGUCCUCUGAGCUUAGUAACUAUACACCUAGCUUUUGAGUGUCCCGCGGAGCCUGCCGUUUAAACCCCAUCUUUUAAUGGUUGACCUCGGAUCAGGUAGGAAUACCCGCUGAACUUAAGCAUAUCAAUAAGCGGAGGA
Molecule: unclassified non-coding RNA, 387 nt
Filed under: soil metagenome
Description: partial contains 5.8S ribosomal RNA, internal transcribed spacer 2, and large subunit ribosomal RNA
Rfam family: 5.8S ribosomal RNA (bases 1-120)
Source: RNAcentral